UACAGAGGUCCCAAGCGUUGUUCGGAUUUACUGGGCGUAAAGGGUGCGUAGGAGGCUUGGAAAGUCAGGUGUGAAAUCUCACCGCUUAACGGUGAAAUGGCGCUUGAUACUCCCGAGCUAGAAGAUCGGAGGGGAGAACGGAAUUCCUGGUGUAGCGGUGAAAUGCGUAGAUAUCAGGAGGAACACCAACGGCGAAGGCAGUUCUCUGGACGAUUCUUGACUCUGAGGCACGAAGGCCAGGGGAGCAAACGGG
Molecule: ribosomal RNA, 253 nt
Filed under: bacterium
Lineage: Bacteria
Also listed under: 1 other name
Description: partial 16S ribosomal RNA
Rfam family: Bacterial small subunit ribosomal RNA
Source: RNAcentral